Molecule: ribosomal RNA, 253 nt
Filed under: uncultured bacterium
Lineage: Bacteria
Description: partial 16S ribosomal RNA
Rfam family: Bacterial small subunit ribosomal RNA
Source: RNAcentral
UACAGAGGUCUCAAGCGUUGUUCGGAUUCAUUGGGCGUAAAGGGUGCGUAGGCGGCGCGGUAAGUCGGGUGUGAAAUCUUGGAGCUUAACUCCGAAACUGCAUUCGAUACUGCCGUGCUUGAGGACUGGAGAGGAGACUGGAAUUUACGGUGUAGCGGUGAAAUACGUAGAUAUCAGGUGGAAUACCGGUGGCGAAGGCGGCCAAUUGGCCCAACACUGACGCUGAGAUACGAAAGCGUGGGGAUCAAACAGG